GGGUGAUGGUGGGGUGUUGGAGAGACACAAAGAGAGAGAGAGAGAGACGUGCGGAAUGCAAUCCGAUGUCGAGGUAUCUCGUUCCCUUUGGAUUGAGUUAAGUUCAAGUUGAAGGAUCUCGAAAAUUCAUCAUGCACAUUAAAACUUAUCUGGAGGGGGAAGAUGAAAGGAAGGACACCAAAGAAGGCAGGAAGGUUUAAUGCACGAUGAACAGAAGAAGUGUUUGGAAGGACGGACAAUAAUUUGGUUACAAGAUCUACUGCGCUUAUACCUAUCUCAAUCUUGUCCCCAGUUUCCCUCAGGUACACAAAGAAACCACAUUCCCAGGAGCAGGUUUCCUAUUUCUCAUCUUUCAGGACAGUAUUCCAUGGGGCUACAAAUAUGGCACAUAUGUAAUUUAAAAUGAGAAGCAUGAAAGCAAGAUUUGAGGUAUUUGGUGUAAAAUGCACUUUUAAAGAGACUAACCAACAAGUAUAUAUAUAUAUUAUUAAAGCCUCCUUCCUCUACCCUGUUGUGUUAAAAAUGAAAGGUAAUUCCUUUCAACAGGCCUGAGUGUUCCCUUUUGGUGGUUUAUUACAAAAUGUAUGUAUGAAGUACCUUAUCUUGCGUCAUCCCAUUGUAACCCUAGUCCCCGUGAACCAUCCUCUGUUACCAAAAUCACUUGCCUUCCAAGUUUGCAGUUCCAUUAAAAUUAUUACAUUGAUUGAUUUUGUUUAAAAAAAUGGAAUCGUUGAUGGUAUGAAAAAGCGAGAGAGAGUGAGAAAGAGAGAGUGAUGCAUUACAAUUAGAUAGAGUCCAAAAGAUGCAAUUAUCAUUGGGAAAAGGGCGGUAGUGUGUCUUUAAGAAACAAACCGUCAAUUCUGACACCGAGGGGCAAGGCUUAAAAAGAACAUUGCUGGAAGUAUAAGUAGCGACUCCAUCAGUCAGUAAAAUGGAUUCUCUACAUCUCUUGCAUCUCUUUGUGAAACGAGGAAUGCAGGCUUCCUUUCCAUUGAGCCAAGUACCACAAUUAUUUGUCUUGAACAACACAAAAAAAUCUUUAUGUUUACAGUCUCUUGGUUGACUCACGAGAGUUUAUUCCUGCCUGUUACACCCUGUGGAUUGUAUAUUGCACUGUUGUGAUUUCUUAACCAGUGUUUUCAAUGUAUGUAAAUAGUGUUUGUGCUUGGACAUAAUAUUAUUUCUUUGCUGUGCAAAAGAAAGAUGCAGCAAGCAAUGGAUCUAUUAACACUACUGUAUAUAAUACGUGGAUAUCUUUACAAGAAAUAUACAUGUUAUUUUUUAAAUAUUCGAGGAGAAGAAAAAAAAGGUGUGUCCCUAAAAUUUCAGUUUUGUGUGGCACAAGCUGAAACAAUAAAGUAUAUGUAAAAACA
This is a long non-coding RNA of Callorhinchus milii (elephant shark), 1373 nucleotides long. RefSeq lists it as uncharacterized. NCBI's taxonomy places the organism in Eukaryota, Metazoa, Chordata, Chondrichthyes, Chimaeriformes, Callorhinchidae. The transcript is spliced from 2 exons. The record is from RefSeq and is a predicted model, not a curated record.